AGCGAGGCUGAUGAAGAGUGGGGUACGAAUAACGAAGGAACCCAGUCAGCCUAAAGGCAAUUGGUUGCACAAGUGUGAAAAUCCAAUUGUUGUCUCUGUGUUAACAUCACAUCACUAGGUUUCAGCUGCUUGAUUCGAUGCUGAAGUGAGGAAGACUUCUUUACUGAAGCCAGAUGGUCUCUUGUGCAGACGUGAAUACGCCAUGUGCGAAUAUACUCAACUAUAUGAUCG
Molecule: unclassified non-coding RNA, 231 nt
Filed under: Hevea brasiliensis (rubber tree)
Lineage: Eukaryota; Viridiplantae; Streptophyta; Magnoliopsida; Malpighiales; Euphorbiaceae
Source: RNAcentral